This 253-nucleotide ribosomal RNA is filed under the name uncultured bacterium. RNAcentral describes it as "partial 16S ribosomal RNA". It matches the Rfam family "Bacterial small subunit ribosomal RNA", at positions 524 to 776 of the family's 1533-position model. The record is from RNAcentral.
UACGGAGGGGGCUAGCGUUGUUCGGAAUUACCGGGCGUAAAGCGCACGUAGGCGGCUUUCUAAGUCGGGGGUGAAAUCCUGGAGCUCAACUCCAGAACUGCCUUCGAUACUGGAGAGCUUGAGUCCGGGAGAGGUGAGUGGAACUGCGAGUGUAGAGGUGAAAUUCGUAGAUAUUCGCAAGAACACCAGUGGCGAAGGCGGCUCACUGGCCCGGUACUGACGCUGAGGUGCGAAAGCUAGGGGAGCAAACAGG